This 207-nucleotide long non-coding RNA is filed under the name Musa acuminata (dwarf banana). RNAcentral describes it as "long non-coding RNA (MACU_LNC003343)". Lineage: Eukaryota; Viridiplantae; Streptophyta; Magnoliopsida; Zingiberales; Musaceae. The record is from RNAcentral.
GUCGGGUCAAGUUUCUAACACCAUCCUUUGACUGACGCUAAAGUUAGUAGCCAGUAAAGUUGGAGUAAUUUGAUUGAGUAGUCACUGAUCUCAAUUAAUGUGGCCUGAUUGAAAUUGAUUUGGAAAGAAAUAUUUUAGUCUUCCAAUACCAAACAUAAUUCACUUGGGUGGUUUCCAAAUUACAUGCAGUAAUCCUCUCUACAUGCC